This 850-nucleotide ribosomal RNA is filed under the name Rhodotorula mucilaginosa. Its description in RNAcentral is "LSU rRNA". It matches the Rfam family "Eukaryotic large subunit ribosomal RNA", at positions 81 to 952 of the family's 3401-position model. Lineage: Eukaryota; Fungi; Basidiomycota; Microbotryomycetes; Sporidiobolales; Sporidiobolaceae. The record is from RNAcentral.
UAGUAGCGGCGAGCGAAGCGGGAAGAGCUCAAAUUUAUAAUCUGGCACCUUCGGUGUCCGAGUUGUAAUCUCUAGAAAUGUUUUCCGCGUUGGACCGCACACAAGUCUGUUGGAAUACAGCGGCAUAGUGGUGAGACCCCCGUAUAUGGUGCGGACGCCCAGCGCUUUGUGAUACAUUUUCGAAGAGUCGAGUUGUUUGGGAAUGCAGCUCAAAUUGGGUGGUAAAUUCCAUCUAAAGCUAAAUAUUGGCGAGAGACCGAUAGCGAACAAGUACCGUGAGGGAAAGAUGAAAAGCACUUUGGAAAGAGAGUUAACAGUACGUGAAAUUGUUGGAAGGGAAACGCUUGAAGUCAGACUUGCUUGCNGAGCAAUCGGUUUGCAGGCCAGCAUCAGUUUUCCGGGAUGGAUAAUGGUAGAGAGAAGGUAGCAGUUUCGGCUGUGUUAUAGCUCUCUGCUGGAUACAUCUUGGGGGACUGAGGAACGCAGUGUGCCUUUGGCGGGGGUUUCGACCUCUUCACACUUAGGAUGCUGGUGGAAUGGCUUUAAACGACCCGUCUUGAAACACGGACCAAGGAGUCUAACAUGCUUGCGAGUAUUUGGGUGUCAAACCCGGAUGCGUAAUGAAAGUGAAUGGAGGUGGGAACCGCAAGGUGCACCAUCGACCGAUCUGGAUUUUUAAUGAUGGAUUUGAGUAAGAGCACGUAUGUUGGGACCCGAAAGAUGGUGAACUAUGCCUGAAUAGGGCGAAGCCAGAGGAAACUCUGGUGGAGGNUCGUAGCGGUUCUGACGUGCAAAUCGAUCGUCAAAUUUGGGUAUAGGGGCGAAAGACUAAUCGAACCAUCUAGUAGCU